AUAGGGUUUGAGAGACUGCAUUUCACAUGUGUUUGACUCUAUCAAAUCUCAAUGCACGGUAUCUAAUACAUGUAAAAUAAGACACAGAAAGGAUUGAAAGGAAGUGUAUUUCAACAAAAGCUCCAACAAGCAAAUUUGUCUUAACAAAAGGCAGAGAUUUGUGCUGACUACAGGACAGACACUAAUACGGUAUAGCUAGUAUUGCACCUAGCAGCAGAUCACCUUCCCCG
Molecule: long non-coding RNA, 230 nt
Filed under: Bos taurus (domestic cattle)
Lineage: Eukaryota; Metazoa; Chordata; Mammalia; Artiodactyla; Bovidae
Description: long non-coding RNA NONBTAT023009
Source: RNAcentral